UGGGCAACCUGCCCCUCUCUCUGGGAUAAACCCCCGGGGAAAACCGGAGCUAAUACCGGACACUCCGGCUGGAUCGCAUGGUCCGGCCGGGAAAGGUCCGCCGGAGAGGGAAGGGCCCGCGGCCUAUCAGCUUGUUGGUGGGGUCAUGGCUCACCAAGGCGACGACGGGUAGCUGGUCUGAGAGGACGACCAGCCACACUGGAACUGAGAUACGGUCCAGACUCCGUACGGGAGGCA
This 237-nucleotide ribosomal RNA is filed under the name uncultured bacterium. RNAcentral's name for it is "partial 16S ribosomal RNA". It matches the Rfam family "Bacterial small subunit ribosomal RNA", at positions 118 to 350 of the family's 1533-position model. The record is from RNAcentral.